CAGAAAGACGAGGCCUUAACAACAACAAAUAUAAACUAACAUGGGCUCAGACCUAAAGUUUGGAGGGUACUUUGGGGGGAGUGUGAUUGCAAAUGGUAUUGAAUUUUAAUUUUAUGUAGAAAAUUAAUUUGAAUUAUAUAGUUCUGUUUUCAAGGUAAACCUGGUUGUAUAAAAUGAAUGUGGAGGUGUUUAUUUCUCUGUUCUUUCCUGAAAGUGUUUGUGUAGAAUUUGGAUUAUUUCUUCCUGUGUAUAUUGGAGAAAUUGCCAAUGCAACAAUGUGGAUGUGGAAUUCCCUUUGAUAGAAUAUUUUCAUUUAUAGUUGAAGGGCAAUUUAAGUUGUCUCUUUCUCUUCAAAUGACUUUUAGCAAUGUGUGUAUUUCCCAGAAUAAGUUUUGAAACCAAUGAA
This is a long non-coding RNA of Perognathus longimembris pacificus (Pacific pocket mouse), 406 nucleotides long. RefSeq lists it as uncharacterized. The transcript has 2 exons. The record is from RefSeq and is a predicted model, not a curated record. Lineage: Eukaryota; Metazoa; Chordata; Mammalia; Rodentia; Heteromyidae.